RNAcentral lists this ribosomal RNA (252 nucleotides) under uncultured Odoribacter sp. RNAcentral describes it as "partial 16S ribosomal RNA". It matches the Rfam family "Bacterial small subunit ribosomal RNA", at positions 524 to 776 of the family's 1533-position model. Lineage: Bacteria; Pseudomonadati; Bacteroidota; Bacteroidia; Bacteroidales; Odoribacteraceae. The record is from RNAcentral.
UACGGAGGAUGCGAGCGUUAUCCGGAUUUAUUGGGUUUAAAGGGUGCGUAGGCGGUAUUUUAAGUUAGUGGUAAAACGUCGGGGCUUCACCUUGAUUGGCCAUUAAAACUGGAGUACUAGAGUACAGACGAGGUAGGCGGAAUAAGUUAAGUAGCGGUGAAAUGCUUAGAUAUAACUUAGAACCCCGAUAGCGAAGGCAGCAUACCGGCGCCCGACUGACGCUGAAGCACGAAAGCGUGGGUAUCGAACAGG